Molecule: ribosomal RNA, 599 nt
Filed under: Escherichia coli
Lineage: Bacteria; Pseudomonadati; Pseudomonadota; Gammaproteobacteria; Enterobacterales; Enterobacteriaceae
Description: partial 23S ribosomal RNA
Rfam family: Bacterial large subunit ribosomal RNA
Source: RNAcentral
CCUUGAAAUACCACCCUUUAAUGUUUGAUGUUCUAACGUUGGCCCCUGAUCGGGGUUGCGGACAGUGUCUGGUGGGUAGUUUGACUGGGGCGGUCUCCUCCUAAAGAGUAACGGAGGAGCACGAAGGUUGGCUAAUCCUGGUCGGACAUCAGGAGGUUAGUGCAAUGGCAUAAGCCAGCUUGACUGCGAGCGUGACGGCGCGAGCAGGUGCGAAAGCAGGUCAUAGUGAUCCGGUGGUUCUGAAUGGAAGGGCCAUCGCUCAACGGAUAAAAGGUACUCCGGGGAUAACAGGCUGAUACCGCCCAAGAGUUCAUAUCGACGGCGGUGUUUGGCACCUCGAUGUCGGCUCAUCACAUCCUGGGGCUGAAGUAGGUCCCAAGGGUAUGGCUGUUCGCCAUUUAAAGUGGUACGCGAGCUGGGUUUAGAACGUCGUGAGACAGUUCGGUCCCUAUCUGCCGUGGGCGCUGGAGAACUGAGGGGGGCUGCUCCUAGUACGAGAGGACCGGAGUGGACGCAUCACUGGUGUUCGGGUUGUCAUGCCAAUGGCACUGCCCGGUAGCUAAAUGCGGAAGAGAUAAGUGCUGAAAGCAUCUAAGCAC